AUUGAACGCUGGCGGCAGGCCUAACACAUGCAAGUCGAGCGGAUGAAGGGAGCUUGCUCCUGGAUUCAGCGGCGGACGGGUGAGUAAUGCCUAGGAAUCUGCCUGGUAGUGGGGGAUAACGUCCGGAAACGGGCGCUAAUACCGCAUACGUCCUGAGGGAGAAAGUGGGGGAUCUUCGGACCUCACGCUAUCAGAUGAGCCUAGGUCGGAUUAGCUAGUUGGUGGGGUAAAGGCCUACCAAGGCGACGAUCCGUAACUGGUCUGAGAGGAUGAUCAGUCACACUGGAACUGAGACACGGUCCAGACUCCUACGGGAGGCAGCAGUGGGGAAUAUUGGACAAAGGGCGAAAGCCUGAUCCAGCCAUGCCGCGUGUGUGAAGAAGGUCUUCGGAUUGUAAAGCAAUUUAAGUUGGGAGGAAGGGCAGUAAGUUAAUACCUUGCUGUUUUGACGUUACCAACAGAAUAAGCACCGGCUAACUUCGUG
Molecule: ribosomal RNA, 484 nt
Filed under: uncultured bacterium
Lineage: Bacteria
Description: partial 16S ribosomal RNA
Rfam family: Bacterial small subunit ribosomal RNA
Source: RNAcentral